Molecule: long non-coding RNA, 287 nt
Organism: Xenopus tropicalis (tropical clawed frog)
Lineage: Eukaryota; Metazoa; Chordata; Amphibia; Anura; Pipidae
Exons: 2
Source: RefSeq, a predicted model, not a curated record
GGGGAACUCUACCCGGCGUUUUGCAGAAUCCGCUAUUGGUGCCCCUCCUGAGAGGAAGAAACAGUAACAAGGACUGAGUUAGUGGGGCCCCGGGCCCCAUACAAAAUGGGACAACAUUUUCCUUUCAUAACUCCGGCAAUUGGUCCUCUCAGUUCCCAAAGGGUUACAGAGCGUUGCUGAAAGAACACCGUUGGAAACGAGCCCCUGCCUCCCCUCAUGUUGUGGGCAUUCAUGUCAAAAUGAAAAGACAUUUUUGGGAAAGCAGUAAAAUUUCUCAUUUCAGCAUU